This 297-nucleotide ribosomal RNA is filed under the name Triticum aestivum (bread wheat). RNAcentral's name for it is "partial small subunit ribosomal RNA". It matches the Rfam family "Bacterial large subunit ribosomal RNA", at positions 2479 to 2774 of the family's 2925-position model. The record is from RNAcentral. Lineage: Eukaryota; Viridiplantae; Streptophyta; Magnoliopsida; Poales; Poaceae.
AUGCAGAUCUUCCCCAAGAGUCCACAUCGACGGGAAGGUUUGGCACCUCGAUGUCGGCUCUUCGCCACCUGGAGCUGUAGGUGGUUCCAAGGGUUAGGCUAUUCGCCCAUUAAUGCGGUACGUGAGUUGGGUUUAGAAUGUCGUGAGACAGUUCGGUCCAUAUCCGGUGUGGGCGUUAGAGCAUUGAGAGGACCUUUCCCUAGUACGAGAGGGCCGGGAAGGACGCACCUUUGGUGUACCAGUUAUCGUGCCUACGGUAAAUGCUGGGUAGCCAAGUGCGGAGAGGAUAACUGCUGA